Long non-coding RNA from Oncorhynchus tshawytscha (Chinook salmon), 2373 nucleotides. The record is from Ensembl. Lineage: Eukaryota; Metazoa; Chordata; Actinopteri; Salmoniformes; Salmonidae.
GGGAGAGAGAGAGGGAGAGAGAGGGGGAGAGAGAGAGAGGGGGAGAGAGGGCUAAGUACGCACCAGCGUGGGACCCCCCCAUGUUGAAGGUCAGCAAGUGAGAGAAGGAGGGGGAAAGAGGGAGGGGAGAGAAUUUAACUUGGUUAAGCUUCUCUAGAUGACGUACAAUGGUUCCAGACACAUCCUGUCUCAGACCCUAUCUCCCCCAUGGCAGAAGGAGGGAGUGACUGGACACAGACAUUGUGGAUACAAGUAAUUGGUUAAUCACGCCAUCCCUUCACAUGGUUUACAGUAGGUAAAGACACAUAUUCACAUAUGAAGACAAAAUUCUCUCUUCCUGACCUCUUCCCUUUCUGAUAUUCUCACCAAGCUAAUUCUGAUUCUUCCACCACAUUCCCCUCUCAAGGGACGGAGUCCCUUCCGGAGACAUCAGAACAGUAACAUGAUAUCUUACUAGCAUUUGUUGCAGAGUAUAUGAAUUAUACAAAAAUAAAAUAGAGAAUCAAAUCCCUACAAUGUCGAGUACCUUAUUUCCAUGUAAGAUUCCUCCGUUGGGAAACUGAGUUCACAACCUUUAUUCCUCAAGACAUACUUACACAUGUUUAAUCAUACAGAAUAAUACAUUGCUGAGGAAAAUACAGAAAUAAGAAAUGCUACCUAAGUUACAGGAGAAUCCGUGUCUAAACACAGGCCUCAUCACCACAGAUAGGACAGUCAUCUCUCUGAACAUGCCCACAGACAUAACAGAUUGUAGAAUUAUCUGUGCAGUGUGAUUCAACAUCUGGAAGAACAAGUUCCUUCCCUAGUCAUGGGGAUAGUAGAUGGGCCGCAUCGCCCUCUUCUCUCUAGUCUUCACCCAAGGUGGGAGGGACUCCUGUCUCUAUCAUGUGACAACGUGUUAGGACUGGUAACCCAGAAGGGCCCAGCCAGAGUUUCUACACCUGAUCGUAUGUACGAAGUCGUUUCCACUUCCUUGAUUCAGCUGGACCUACAGAGGAUUGUAAGUCAGAUAUAUAAGUAGUUGAGAAAAAGUUAACAGGAAGUGAAACCAUCUGUAACACAUCUGCUGCUUUGCUGCCAAAUCAGCCACUGUGUUGCCCUUGGAGACAGGUCCAAGAGAGUUAGUAUGAGCCAAACAUUUACAUACAGCGAUUUUUAGAAGGGAGAAGAAUAGCUUUCAAAAGGUUAUCAGCAAGUUUAAAUUGAGAAAUUGUUUUCCCAGAGGACGUGAGGAACCCACGCUGUUUCCACAGGGUGAAAUCUGACCUUGGUUUUGAUACCAUGUCGAUCAGAGGUGUGCAGUCGUGGGGUCCUCCAUCCAUGUUCAGCAACAGUGUCACUGGAUUGAGCCUGAGUCAACGCAGGAGACAUACAAGCUUUCUUCUCACACACAAACAGAUGGAAAGGGUUGAGAAUGUGCACAGGGCGACCGAGACGUGGAGAAGCAGUCAUGAGUUGUUUCAGUUUCGUCAGGGCAGUCAGCCAUUCAUUUUAUUUUAUGAUUCAUAUCCAUCUUGUGACCGUAAAUGAGAUCUGAGAGAGGCUGGACAACCUUGGCCUAGUCAGGCAACCACGCCCUACUAUCAUACCAGUCAGUGACAUCAUGUGUGGUUUGGUAACCGGCUUUGGGACAGAGAUAAUAGCCUGUACUCUCUCUGGACCCCAGCUGUCUGCCAUUGGUGUGGUAUCAUGUCCUAAAAUACUUAAAUAGUUUUUAUUCAUACUUUGUGGUCCCUACCAGAAAGAUCAAAAGGUGCUUGAGUGUCAGUUUCACAUGCCUGAAGAGUACAGUAACAAGUCAACAACGUACUAUAUCAAUGUGUUCCCCCGCGGGGGGAACGAAACCCUCCAAAUGUUGUGCCAAUGCAGCUGAAAAGAUUGCAGGGGUCUCGGUGUACUUCUUUCCGGGGAACGUGAACGCAAACCAGAACUGUGACUCUGGUGCAACGGGAAUGCAAAAAAAAAAUGCAUUAGCCAAAUCAAUAACAGAAAACCAAUUAGCUGUUGCUGGGACUGCAGAUAACGUAGUUGGAUUGGGAACCACAGUGGCAAAGACAGCAUUCUUAAACGGGCCUUAAUCUUGAACUAAACGGCAAUCCCCUGAGGCUUUCCUUCAAAUCAAAUCAAAUCAAAUUUUAUUUGUCACAUACACAUGGUUAGCAGAUGUUAAUGCGAGUGUAGCGAAAUGCUGGUGCUUCUAGUUCCGACAAUGCAGUAAUAACGAGCAAGUAAUCUAACUAACAAUUCCAAAAAAACUACUGUCUUAUACACAGUGUAAGGGGAUAAAGAAUAUGUACAUAAGGAUAUAUGAAUGAGUGAUGGUACAGAGCAGCAUAGGCAAGAUACAGUAGAUGAUAUCGAGUACAGUAUAUA